This 1457-nucleotide long non-coding RNA is filed under the name Homo sapiens (human). RNAcentral's name for it is "HSALNT0250593". Lineage: Eukaryota; Metazoa; Chordata; Mammalia; Primates; Hominidae. The record is from RNAcentral.
GGGAGGGGCAGGUUCACCCUCAGUCUGUGUGGGCACUGUCUAAUCAGCUGCCAGUGCAGCUAGAAUAAAGCAGGCAGAAGAAGUUGGAAAGAGCAGACUUGCUGAGUCUUCUGGCCUUCAUCUUUCUCCUGUGCAGGAUGCUUCCUGCCCUCAAACUUCAGACUCCAAGUUCUCCAGCUUUUGGUUUCUUGGACUUACACCAGUGAUUUGCCAGGGACUCUCGGGCCUACUACCACAGACUGAAGGCUGCACUGUUGGCUUCCCUACUUUUGAAGUUUGGGGGCUGGCUUCCUAGUUCCUCAGCUUGUGGAUGACCUACUGUGGGACUUCACCUCGUGAUAGGGUUGUAUACCUGCCAUUUUUCUGUCUUCCUGUGACCCUUCUUCAUCUGGAAUAGAGAAAAUCAGCAUGGCAAGAUGUCCUGGGUAUCCUACCUGUCUCUGGUGAAGGAGGAGAAAAUGGUGAUUCCUACAGGGGUGAAGAAAAGAUCAAUUAUCUGCAGCACACACCAGGGUGGUCAGAUUGGAAGAAGGUGCCCACCAAGUGUCUUUUACUGCUGAGAGAAUGAACAAAAGCACACUUUAUAUUAUACUGAUUUUCCAUGAAGGUACUAUAAUCAGAAGAUAAUAAUGUGUUUUUAUUAACUCAUAUCAUAAAUAUAAGCGUUUUGCCCUAUAACUUCUUAGAAUUGCUAUGCAGUGAUGAUAAGUCUUUAGACAGGUUCAUAUUGUCCUGUCAUCUGAAUUUCUCAUCACAGAGUCUAUGAUCCUAUAUAAUACAUUAUGCAGAUGUUUCAUACACUAUAUUAGUUAGCAUGUGCUUUCAUUUAAAAGUGGGGCCAAUGUUUCCCUUUCCUGCAUAAAACAUUUGGGCCUAACUCAAAUGGAUAUUUUCUAAGCCAACCUGGUGACAUGGUAAUGCAUGAAAUUGUGAAGAGUAAAGUACAUAGUAAUUUAUGAAAAGCUUAGAAUUUAUAUUCCCUUUCCUGGAGUACAACAAUAACCCUAAAAAGAAACAAGAAAACUCAUCUUUUCCUCUAGCAAAUUGCAAGUUCUUGGCAAGAGGAAUAUGCACAUUAAAGAAACACAGGGAUAAAGGUCAUCUCCAGUCUGAAAUUACUUAAUAGUCCUGUUUUCCCAAAACAAACAAGAACUCACCCUGCAGAAGGGCUAUGGGAAAGAAGAAAAAACAAUUAUCCCCAUCUUCUAUAGACUUAUCUACAGAGCAGAUGCCAGGUUCCGUCUCAAGCUCUUUCUUCUGCUGGUCCAAACCUAGCCAUUUGUUAGCAAUUUGAAAAGAAGAUUGUAAAGCCAAAUGACAGACAGACACUGUUCGUACUCUGUAUUUAGAAUGGCCCAUUGUUAGUACUAUCCCAUUAUAAGAAAUAAGUUGUCUUUGUGUCCACUUGAAUUAACUAGUUUAACCUCAUUACCUACUUACUUGUUUUUAGACCUUUU